CCUUAGAUCGUACCCACAUUUACUUGGAUAACUGUGGUAAUUCUAGAGCUAAUACAUGCAAACCAGAGUUCCGACCAGAGAUGGAAGGAACGCUUUUAUUAGAUCAAAACCAAUCGGUGGCGGGUUCGCUCGUCCACCGUUUACCUUGGUGACUCUGAAUAACUUUGUGCUGAUCGUAUGGUCUCGUACCGACGACGCAUCUUUCAAAUGUCUGCCUUAUCAACUGUCGAUGGUAGGUUCUGCGCCUACCAUGGUUGUAACGGGUAACGGGGAAUCAGGGUUCGAUUCCGGAGAGGGAGCCUGAGAAACGGCUACCACAUCCAAGGAAGGCAGCAGGCGCGCAAAUUACCCACUCCCGGCACGGGGAGGUAGUGACGAAAAAUAACGAUACGGGACUCAUCCGAGGCCCCGUAAUCGGAAUGAGUACACUUUAAAUCCUUUAACGAGGAUCCAUUGGAGGGCAAGUCUGGUGCCAGCAGCCGCGGUAAUUCCAGCUCCAAUAGCGUAUAUUAAAGUUGUUGCGGUUAAAAAGCUCGUAGUUGAAUCUGUGUGCCACGCUGUCGGUUCAUCGCUCGCGAUGUUUAACUGACAUGAUUGUGGGACGUCCUACCGGUGGGCUUAGCUCCUCACGGGGCGGUCCAGCUAAUAUCCCAUCGCGGUGCUCUUCAUCGAGUGUCGAGGUGGGCCGGUACGUUUACUUUGAACAAAUUAGAGUGCUCAAAGCAGGCUAUGUUCGCCUGAAUACUGUGUGCAUGGAAUAAUGGAAUAGGACCUCGGUUCUAUUUUGUUGGUUUUCGGAACCCCGAGGUAAUGAUUAAUAGGGACAGAUGGGGGCAUUCGUAUUGCGACGUUAGAGGUGAAAUUCUUGGAUCGUCGCAAGACGAACAGAAGCGAAAGCAUUUGCCAAAAAUGUUUUCAUUAAUCAAGAACGAAAGUUAGAGGUUCGAAGGCGAUCAGAUACCGCCCUAGUUCUAACCAUAAACGAUGCCAGCUAGCGAUCCGCCGAAGUUCCUCCGAUGACUCGGCGGGCAGCUUCCGGGAAACCAAAGCUUUUGGGUUCCGGGGGAAGUAUGGUUGCAAAGCUGAAACUUAAAGGAAUUGACGGAAGGGCACCACCAGGAGUGGAGCCUGCGGCUUAAUUUGACUCAACAC
Molecule: ribosomal RNA, 1152 nt
Filed under: Closterocerus trifasciatus
Lineage: Eukaryota; Metazoa; Arthropoda; Insecta; Hymenoptera; Eulophidae
Description: SSU rRNA
Rfam family: Eukaryotic small subunit ribosomal RNA
Source: RNAcentral